Molecule: ribosomal RNA, 253 nt
Filed under: uncultured bacterium
Lineage: Bacteria
Description: partial 16S ribosomal RNA
Rfam family: Bacterial small subunit ribosomal RNA
Source: RNAcentral
UACAGAGGGGGCAAGCGUUGUUCGGAAUUACUGGGCGUAAAGAGCGUGUAGGCGGCUUGGCGAGUCUUGCGUGAAAUCCUGCGGCUCAACCGCAGGCGGUCGCAGGAAACUGCCUCGCUAGAGUCCGGAAGAGGAGAGCGGAAUUCCUGGUGUAGCGGUGGAAUGCGCAGAUAUCAGGAAGAACACCCGUGGCGAAGGCGGCUCUCUGGGACGGUACUGACGCUGAGACGCGAAAGCGUGGGGAGCGAACAGG